CGGACGGGUGAGUAACACGUGGAUAACCUACCUAUAAGACUGGGAUAACUUCGGGAAACCGGAGCUAAUACCGGAUAAUAUAUUGAACCGCAUGGUUCAAUAGUGAAAGACGGUUUUGCUGUCACUUAUAGAUGGAUCCGCGCCGCAUUAGCUAGUUGGUAAGGUAACGGCUUUCCAAGGCAACGAUGCGUAGCCGACCUGAGAGGGUGAUCGGCCACACUGGAACUGAGACACGGUCCAG
This 241-nucleotide ribosomal RNA is filed under the name uncultured Staphylococcus sp. RNAcentral's name for it is "partial 16S ribosomal RNA". It matches the Rfam family "Bacterial small subunit ribosomal RNA", at positions 99 to 334 of the family's 1533-position model. The record is from RNAcentral. Lineage: Bacteria; Bacillati; Bacillota; Bacilli; Caryophanales; Staphylococcaceae.